UGCGGAUAUGAUGAAAUUCAGGUAGACAUAUUAGAUUUAGAUUCUAAUGACUUAAGAUAGUCAUGAGGGUUCAAAUCCCUCUAUCCGUAU
RNAcentral lists this transfer RNA (90 nucleotides) under Pterocladia lucida. RNAcentral's name for it is "tRNA-Leu". It matches the Rfam family "tRNA". From Rfam's summary of the family: Transfer RNA (tRNA) molecules are approximately 80 nucleotides in length. Lineage: Eukaryota; Rhodophyta; Florideophyceae; Gelidiales; Pterocladiaceae. The record is from RNAcentral.